GACGAACGCUGGCGGCGUGCUUAACACAUGCAAGUCGAACGGAAAGGCCCUGCUUGCAGGGUACUCGAGUGGCGAACGGGUGAGUAACACGUGGGUGAUCUGCCCUUCACUUCGGGAUAAGCCUGGGAAACUGGGUCUAAUACCGGAUAGGAGCCAUUUUUAGUGUGAUGGUUGGAAAGUUUUUUCGGUGUAGGAUGAGCUCGCGGCCUAUCAGCUUGUUGGUGGGGUAAUGGCCUACCAAGGCGGCGACGGGUAGCCGGCCUGAGAGGGUGGACGGCCACAUUGGGACUGAGACACGGCCCAGACUCCUACGGGAGGCAGCAGUGGGGAAUAUUGCACAAUGGGCGCAAGCCUGAUGCAGCGACGCCGCGUGGGGGAUGACGGCCUUCGGGUUGUAAACUCCUUUCGCUAGGGACGAAGCUUUUUGUGACGGUACCUAGAUAAGAAGCACCGGCUAACUACGUG
RNAcentral lists this ribosomal RNA (465 nucleotides) under uncultured bacterium. RNAcentral describes it as "partial 16S ribosomal RNA". It matches the Rfam family "Bacterial small subunit ribosomal RNA", at positions 28 to 507 of the family's 1533-position model. The record is from RNAcentral.